This is a long non-coding RNA of Saccostrea cuccullata (small rock oyster), 348 nucleotides long. RefSeq lists it as uncharacterized. Lineage: Eukaryota; Metazoa; Mollusca; Bivalvia; Ostreida; Ostreidae. The record is from RefSeq and is a predicted model, not a curated record. The transcript is spliced from 3 exons.
UGGAAAUGGUACUUUAGAUCAAAUCAGUUGUAAAGAGUUUAUAACUGGUUGUCCAGAAGAGGCUUUCCGAGGAAAUGGCUUCUACAAUUUUUCAGCUUGCAGUAAAAUCAACACAGAAAAGAAAUGUUUUUAUGCAGACCCAUCAUGUCCGAACACGACAGAAUCCAUCACUCUCCACCCAAGUACAACAGAUGAUUUGUUUAAUACCACAACCAAUGCCACGUUGAAAAUAUUGACCACAGGAACUAGUAUUGCAGAUGAAGAAUCAAGCAAUGUAGGAGUGAUCAUUGGAAUUAUCCUCUGUCUACUACUUCUACAGCUCCUUGUUUUUGCCUAUAUAUUCUGGAA